Molecule: ribosomal RNA, 353 nt
Filed under: uncultured bacterium
Lineage: Bacteria
Description: partial 16S ribosomal RNA
Rfam family: Bacterial small subunit ribosomal RNA
Source: RNAcentral
CCUACGGGAGGCAGCAGUGGGGAAUAUUGCACAAUGGGGGAAACCCUGAUGCAGCGACGCCGCGUGAGUGAUGAAGUAUUUCGGUUUGUAAAGCUCUAUCAUCAGGGAAGAAAAUGACGGUACCUGAUUAAUAAGCCCCGGCUAACUACGUGCCAGCAGCCGCGGUAAUACGUAGGGGGCAAGCGUUAUGCGGAUUUACUGGGUGUAAAGGGAGCGUAGGCGGGAGCACAAGUCAGAAGUGAAAUGCCGGGGCUUAACCCCGGAACUGCUUUUGAAACUGUGCAGCUAGAGUGCAGGAGAGGUAGGUGGAAUUCAUGGUGUAGGGGUGAAAUGCGUAGAGAUUAAGAGGAACA